Molecule: ribosomal RNA, 1023 nt
Filed under: Vibrio sp.
Lineage: Bacteria; Pseudomonadati; Pseudomonadota; Gammaproteobacteria; Vibrionales; Vibrionaceae
Description: bacterial SSU rRNA
Rfam family: Bacterial small subunit ribosomal RNA
Source: RNAcentral
UCAGAUUGAACGCUGGCGGCAGGCCUAACACAUGCAAGUCGAGCGGAAACGAGUUAUCUGAACCUUCGGGGAACGAUAACGGCGUCGAGCGGCGGACGGGUGAGUAAUGCCUAGGAAAUUGCCCUGAUGUGGGGGAUAACCAUUGGAAACGAUGGCUAAUACCGCAUGAUGCCUACGGGCCAAAGAGGGGGACCUUCGGGCCUCUCGCGUCAGGAUAUGCCUAGGUGGGAUUAGCUAGUUGGUGAGGUAAGGGCUCACCAAGGCGACGAUCCCUAGCUGGUCUGAGAGGAUGAUCAGCCACACUGGAACUGAGACACGGUCCAGACUCCUACGGGAGGCAGCAGUGGGGAAUAUUGCACAAUGGGCGCAAGCCUGAUGCAGCCAUGCCGCGUGUGUGAAGAAGGCCUUCGGGUUGUAAAGCACUUUCAGUCGUGAGGAAGGUGGUGUAGUUAAUAGCUGCAUUAUUUGACGUUAGCGACAGAAGAAGCACCGGCUAACUCCGUGCCAGCAGCCGCGGUAAUACGGAGGGUGCGAGCGUUAAUCGGAAUUACUGGGCGUAAAGCGCAUGCAGGUGGUUUGUUAAGUCAGAUGUGAAAGCCCGGGGCUCAACCUCGGAAUAGCAUUUGAAACUGGCAGACUAGAGUACUGUAGAGGGGGGUAGAAUUUCAGGUGUAGCGGUGAAAUGCGUAGAGAUCUGAAGGAAUACCGGUGGCGAAGGCGGCCCCCUGGACAGAUACUGACACUCAGAUGCGAAAGCGUGGGGAGCAAACAGGAUUAGAUACCCUGGUAGUCCACGCCGUAAACGAUGUCUACUUGGAGGUUGUGGCCUUGAGCCGUGGCUUUCGGAGCUAACGCGUUAAGUAGACCGCCUGGGGAGUACGGUCGCAAGAUUAAAACUCAAAUGAAUUGACGGGGGCCCGCACAAGCGGUGGAGCAUGUGGUUUAAUUCGAUGCAACGCGAAGAACCUUACCUACUCUUGACAUCCAGAGAACUUUCCAGAGAUGGAUUGGUGCCUUCGGGAA